CCUACGGGCGACAGCAGUGGGGAAUUUUGCGCAAUGCUCGUAAGAGUGACGCAGCGACGCCGCGUGAAUGACGAAGGCCUUCGGGUCGUAAAGUUCUUUCGACAGGGAAGAAAAUGCCUAUAAGUAACUGUGUAUGUAUUGACGGUACCUGUAUAAGCAGCCCCGGCUAACUCCGUGCCAGCAGCCGCGGUAAUACGGAGGGGGCGAGCGUUGUUCGGUGGGACUGGGCGUAAAGAGCACGUAGGCGGUGUUGUAAGUCAUUAGUCAAAGACUAGAGCUCAACUUUAGUAAGGCUAGUGAUACUAUAAUAAUAGAGUAUCAGAGAGGAUUGCAGAAUGCCUGGUGUAGCGGUGAAAUGCGGAGAUAUCAGGAGGAAUACCGUUAGCGAAGGCGGCAAUCUGGCUGGAAACUGACGCUGAGGUGCGAAAGCGUGGGUAGCAAACAGGAUUAGAUACCCGGGUAGUC
Molecule: ribosomal RNA, 465 nt
Filed under: uncultured bacterium
Lineage: Bacteria
Description: partial 16S ribosomal RNA
Rfam family: Bacterial small subunit ribosomal RNA
Source: RNAcentral